ACGAACGCUGGCGGCGUGCCUAAUACAUGCAAGUCGAACGGUCUUUCUAUGGAAGCUUGCUUCCACUGAGAAGAUAGUGGCGAACGGGUGAGUAACACGUGGGUAACCUGCCCAUAAGAGGGGGAUAACAUCCGGAAACGGGUGCUAAUACCGCAUAGUUUUCUUGAUCGCAUGAUUGAGAAAGGAAAGACGGCCUUUGUGCUGUCGCUUAUGGAUGGACCCGCGGCGUAUUAGUUAGUUGGUGAGGUAACGGCUCACCAAGACGAUGAUACGUAGCCGACCUGAGAGGGUGAUCGGCCACAUUGGGACUGAGACACGGCCCAAACUCCUACGGGAGGCAGCAGUAGGGAAUCUUCCGCAAUGGACGAAAGUCUGACGGAGCAACGCCGCGUGAGUGAAGAAAGGUUUUCGGAUCGUAAAACUCUGUUGUCAGAGAAGAACAAGUUGGAGAGUAACUGCUCCAGCCUUGACGGUAUCUGACCAGAAAGCCACGGCUAACUACGUGCCAGCAGCCGC
This 516-nucleotide ribosomal RNA is filed under the name uncultured bacterium. RNAcentral's name for it is "bacterial SSU rRNA". It matches the Rfam family "Bacterial small subunit ribosomal RNA", at positions 29 to 518 of the family's 1533-position model. The record is from RNAcentral.